GACGAACGCUGGCGGCGUGCUUAACACAUGCAAGUCGAGCGGUAAGGCCCUUUCGGGGGUACACGAGCGGCGAACGGGUGAGUAACACGUGGGUGACCUGCCCUCAGCUCUGGGAUAAGCCUGGGAAACCGGGUCUAAUACUGGAUAUGACUCCAUGACGCAUGUUGUGGGGUGGAAAGCCUUGUGCGGCUGAGGAUGGGCCCGCGGCCUAUCAGCUUGUUGGUGGGGUGANGGCCUACCAAGGCGACGACGGGUAGCCGGCCUGAGAGGGCGACCGGCCACACUGGGACUGAGACACGGCCCAGACUCCUACGGGAGGCAGCAGUGGGGAAUCUUGCGCAAUGGGCGAAAGCCUGACGCAGCAACGCCGCGUGGGGAUGA
Molecule: ribosomal RNA, 381 nt
Filed under: uncultured bacterium
Lineage: Bacteria
Description: bacterial SSU rRNA
Rfam family: Bacterial small subunit ribosomal RNA
Source: RNAcentral